Molecule: ribosomal RNA, 686 nt
Filed under: fungal sp.
Lineage: Eukaryota; Fungi
Description: eukaryotic LSU rRNA
Rfam family: 5.8S ribosomal RNA (bases 177-330)
Source: RNAcentral
UUACUGAGUGAGGGCCCUCUGGGUCCAACCUCCCACCCGUGUUUAUUGUACCUUGUUGCUUCGGUGCGCCCGCCUCACGGCCGCCGGGGGGCUUCUGCCCCCGGGUCCGCGCGCACCGGAGACACUAUUGAACUCUGUCUGAAGAUUGCAGUCUGAGCAUAAACUAAAUAAGUUAAAACUUUCAACAACGGAUCUCUUGGUUCCGGCAUCGAUGAAGAACGCAGCGAAAUGCGAUAACUAAUGUGAAUUGCAGAAUUCAGUGAAUCAUCGAGUCUUUGAACGCACAUUGCGCCCCCUGGUAUUCCGGGGGGCAUGCCUGUCCGAGCGUCAUUGCUGCCCUCAAGCACGGCUUGUGUGUUGGGCUCCGUCCCCCCGGGGACGGGUCCGAAAGGCAGCGGCGGCACCGAGUCCGGUCCUCGAGCGUAUGGGGCUUUGUCACCCGCUCUGUAGGCCCGGCCGGCGCCAGCCGACAACCAAUCAUCCUUUUUUCAGGUUGACCUCGGAUCAGGUAGGGAUACCCGCUGAACUUAAGCAUAUCAAUAAGCGGAGGAAAAGAAACCAACAGGGAUUACCUCAGUAACGGCGAGUGAAGCGGUAAGAGCUCAAAUUUGAAAGCUGGCUCCUUCGGGGUCCGCAUUGUAAUUUGCAGAGGAUGUUUCGGGAGCAGCCCCCAUCUAAGUGUCCUG